ACCCGCUGAAUUUAAGCAUAUCAAUAAGCGGAGGAAAAGAAACCAACAGGGAUUGCCUUAGUAACGGCGAGUGAAGCGGCAAAAGCUCAAAUUUGAAAUCUGGCACCUUCGGUGUCCGAGUUGUAAUUUGAAGAAGGUAACUUUGGAGUUGGCUCUUGUCUAUGUUCCUUGGAACAGGACGUCACAGAGGGUGAGAAUCCCGUGCGAUGAGAUGCCCAAUUCUAUGUAAAGUGCUUUCGAAGAGUCGAGUUGUUUGGGAAUGCAGCUCUAAGUGGGUGGUAAAUUCCAUCUAAAGCUAAAUAUUGGCGAGAGACCGAUAGCGAACAAGUACAGUGAUGGAAAGAUGAAAAGAACUUUGAAAAGAGAGUGAAAAAGUACGUGAAAUUGUUGAAAGGGAAGGGCUUGAGAUCAGACUUGGUAUUUUGCGAUCCUUUCCUUCUUGGUUGGGUUCCUCGCAGCUUACUGGGCCAGCAUCGGUUUGGGUGGUAGGAUAAUGACUAAGGAAUGUGGCUCUACUUCGGUGGAGUGUUAUAGCCUUGGUUGAUACUGCCUGUCUAGACCGAGGACUGCGUCUUUUGACUAGGAUGUUGGCAUAAUGAUCUUAAGCCACCCGUCUUGAAACACGGACCAAGGAG
RNAcentral lists this ribosomal RNA (635 nucleotides) under uncultured yeast. RNAcentral describes it as "eukaryotic LSU rRNA". It matches the Rfam family "Eukaryotic large subunit ribosomal RNA", at positions 23 to 673 of the family's 3401-position model. The record is from RNAcentral. Lineage: Eukaryota; Fungi.